Molecule: transfer-messenger RNA, 363 nt
Filed under: Enterobacteriaceae (enterobacteria)
Lineage: Bacteria; Pseudomonadati; Pseudomonadota; Gammaproteobacteria; Enterobacterales
Also listed under: 24 other names
Description: Salmonella diarizonae Standard tmRNA
Rfam family: transfer-messenger RNA
About the family: Bacterial tmRNA, also known as 10Sa RNA or SsrA, is named for its dual tRNA and mRNA-like properties.
Source: RNAcentral
GGGGCUGAUUCUGGAUUCGACGGGAUUUGCGAAACCCAAGGUGCAUGCCGAGGGGCGGUUGGCCUCGUAAAAAGCCGCAAAAAAAUAGUCGCAAACGACGAAAACUACGCUUUAGCAGCUUAAUAACCUGCUUAGAGCCCUCUCUCCCUAGCCUCCGCUCUUAGGACGGGGAUCAAGAGAGGUCAAACCCAAAAGAGAUCGCGUGGAUGCCCUGCCUGGGGUUGAAGCGUUAAAACGAAUCAGGCUAGUCUGGUAGUGGCGUGUCCGUCCGCAGGUGCCAGGCGAAUGUAAAGACAGACUAAGCAUGUAGUACCGAGGAUGUAGGAAUUUCGGACGCGGGUUCAACUCCCGCCAGCUCCACCA